Molecule: ribosomal RNA, 524 nt
Filed under: uncultured bacterium
Lineage: Bacteria
Description: bacterial SSU rRNA
Rfam family: Bacterial small subunit ribosomal RNA
Source: RNAcentral
GAGAGUUUGAUCAUGGCUCAGAUUGAACGCUGGCGGCAGGCCUAACACAUGCAAGUCGAGCGGAAACGAGUUAUCUGAACCUUCGGGGAACGAUAACGGCGUCGAGCGGCGGACGGGUGAGUAAUGCCUAGGAAAUUGCCUUGAUGUGGGGGAUAACCAUUGGAAACGAUGGGUAAUACCGCAUGAUGCCUACGGGCCAAAGAGGGGGACCUUCGGGCCUCUCGCGUCAAGAUAUGCCUAGGUGGGAUUAGCUAGUUGGUGAGGUAAUGGCUCACCAAGGCGACGAUCCCUAGCUGGUCUGAGAGGAUGAUCAGCCACACUGGAACUGAGACACGGUCCAGACUCCUACGGGAGGCAGCAGUGGGGAAUAUUGCACAAUGGGCGCAAGCCUGAUGCAGCCAUGCCGCGUGUAUGAAGAAGGCCUUCGGGUUGUAAAGUACUUUCAGCAGUGAGGAAGGGGGUGUCGUUAAUAGCGGCAUCUCUUGACGUUAGCUGCAGAAGAAGCACCGGCUAACUCCGUGCCA